AACAAGUCAAAUAUAUAGGUUUGAUUUUUUUAAUCCCCAAAACUCCCCCUAGGCUACAACCUAUUUUGGGGUCGUUUGGCAUGGCGGACUGUCAUGGACUGGACUAAAUCAUAGGACUAUCUCGGAUUAGCUCAGAGUGGCCUAAGCUGGAUUAAGUAUUGACCUACAUUUGGUGUUGCGUCGGACUAAGAAGCUGGAUUGUAAAAAUAGUGAAGACCUAUGUUUGGUGCUGUGUCUAACUAAAAAAUAAUUCUUAUAAUAUUUAAAUUUAAUUGGGGUUUUUGACCUAAAAGAUAAAUAAAUGCUAAAAAGAAACUCAAUUCAAAGAUUUAUAACAAUAUCUGGCAACCAAAAAAAAAUAUUUAAAACAAUAAUAAAAAGAAAACAAAUAAAUUUUUUUUUAAUUUUAAUGAAGAAUAAAAUUAUGAUAUUUAUUUUUUGGCUCCUCAAGAUUAAUCUUAGUUGGUGGAAACAUUGUUAAAGGAGCUAAUCUCACUCAAUAUAAUUCUAAGUUUUUCAGGGACCAAGUAAAACAAUAAUUAAAUUAUAUAUAUAUAUAUGUAUAAUUUUUAUAUAUUUGACUUU
This 585-nucleotide long non-coding RNA is filed under the name Prunus persica (peach). Its description in RNAcentral is "long non-coding RNA (PPER_LNC005176)". Lineage: Eukaryota; Viridiplantae; Streptophyta; Magnoliopsida; Rosales; Rosaceae. The record is from RNAcentral.